This 721-nucleotide long non-coding RNA is filed under the name Androctonus crassicauda. The record is from RNAcentral. Lineage: Eukaryota; Metazoa; Arthropoda; Arachnida; Scorpiones; Buthidae.
AUUACAGAAUACUUUUCUUUGGAAAUUAAUUCAUUUUAAAACAUUCAAAACAUCAAAAUUUGGCAAAAAGCUACCAUUAUAAUUAUAAAACAACAUGGACUGUUCACAAGUAAUCCAGUUCAUCGAUAACAUUUUUUAGAAAACAAUUUCUCAUCUCAUUAAAAAAAUUGUCAGUUUAUUCUAAUCUGGCUUGCCAUCCAUUAGAAAAUUGUCUAUGUAGCUCUUAUCCAAAAAAGUUUGGGAGCCCUUAGUAUAAACUGAUCAAUUCUGAGAUGGAAUUGUUCAAUAGCCAGUACUUUGAUUGCACAUCAACAGCUCUGCUUGAAACAGAAUCUCCACACUUAAUUUUUCACUCAAACAUUGCAUUUUUAUAUUUAAUAUUUAUAAUGUUAUUUUAUAGCUAUUUUUUUAGUAAAUUGUUAUGGUUACUUAACCGAAGAGCUGCCAGCUGCCGAUCUAAUCGGCUUGCAACCUGCGCAGUAAAAUUAAUUUAAUUAAUUAAUUAAUAUUGAUUAUUUUAUGAUUUUUUUGCAUUUUAUAGAUUAAAAUCUGACAGAUUUGAUCACUAUAUUAUGAAACUACAUGAUGUUAGGAGUGUAAUCAUAUAUAAUACUUAUAAACAGCAACAGCUCUGGCAGAAUGUGCAUACACCGAUGAUGUAGUAAUUGAUUGGGAUGGAGCCCAAGUAGUCAAGUCGCUUUUUAGUAAGAGUACAGCUACC